GUAUAAGAGACAGCAGCCGCCACGGUAAUACGGAGGGGGCUAGCGUUGUUCGGAAUUACUGGGCGUAAAGCGCACGUAGGCGGCUUGGUAAGUUAGAGGUGAAAGCCUGGAGCUCAACUCCAGAAUUGCCUUUAAGACUGCCGAGCUAGCAGGUGAGAGAGGUAAGUGGAAUUCCGAGUGUAGAGGUGAAAUUCGUAGAUAUUCGGAAGAACACCAGUGGCGAAGGCGGCUUACUGGCUCAUACUGGACGCUGAGGUGCGAAAGCGUGGGGAGCAAACAGGAUUAGAUACCCCAGUAGUCCCUGUCUCUUAUAC
This 314-nucleotide ribosomal RNA is filed under the name uncultured bacterium. Its description in RNAcentral is "partial 16S ribosomal RNA". It matches the Rfam family "Bacterial small subunit ribosomal RNA", at positions 495 to 807 of the family's 1533-position model. The record is from RNAcentral.